This 254-nucleotide ribosomal RNA is filed under the name uncultured bacterium. Its description in RNAcentral is "partial 16S ribosomal RNA". It matches the Rfam family "Bacterial small subunit ribosomal RNA", at positions 524 to 776 of the family's 1533-position model. The record is from RNAcentral.
UACGUAGGGGGGCGAGCGUUGUCCGGAAUCAUUGGGCGUAAAGCGCGUGUAGGCGGCCCGGUAAGUCCGCUGUGAAAGUCCAGGGCUCAACCCUGGGAUGCCGGUGGAUACUGUCGGGCUCGAGUCCGGAAGAGGCGAGUGGAAUUCCUGGUGUAGCGGUGAAAUGCGCAGAUAUCAGGAGGAACACCAAUGGCGAAGGCAGCUCGCUGGGACGUGACUGACGCUGAGACGCGAAAGCGUGGGUAGCAAACAGG